Non-coding RNA from Rhodofomes roseus, 82 nucleotides. The record is from the annotation of a RefSeq genome assembly. Lineage: Eukaryota; Fungi; Basidiomycota; Agaricomycetes; Polyporales; Fomitopsidaceae.
GGACCCUUAGCUCAGCGGCAGAGCGUCUGAUUCCAGGAGCGAGGCUUCCAGAAGGUCGUCCGUUCAAUCCGGGCAGGGUUCA